CCUACGGGGGGCUGCAGUAAGGAAUAUUGGUCAAUGGAGGAAACUCUGACCCAGCCAUCCCGCGUGAAGGAUGAAGGGGCUCUGCCUUGUAAACUUCUUUUGUCUGGGGCGAAACAGCUCGAUUUAUCGAGAACUGACGGUACCAGAAGAAUAAGCACCGGCUAACUCCGUGCCAGCAGCCGCGGUAAUACGGAGGGUGCAAGCAUUAUCCGGAUUCACUGGGUCUAAGGCGGCUUUAGGCGUCAUAGGUGAAAGGCUGUGGCUUAACCAGGGAAUUGCCAUUGAUACUGCAGAGCUUGAAUGAGGUUGAGGUUGGCGGAAUGUGACAUGUAGCGGUGAAAUGCUUAGAUAUGUCAUGGAACACCGAUUGCGAAGGCAGCUGACUGGACCUAUAUUGACGCUGAGGCACGAAAGCGUGGGGAGCGAACAGGAUUAGAUACCCGAGUAGUC
This 450-nucleotide ribosomal RNA is filed under the name uncultured bacterium. RNAcentral's name for it is "partial 16S ribosomal RNA". It matches the Rfam family "Bacterial small subunit ribosomal RNA", at positions 338 to 795 of the family's 1533-position model. The record is from RNAcentral.